This 77-nucleotide transfer RNA is filed under the name Lactobacillales bacterium. Its description in RNAcentral is "tRNA-Pro". It matches the Rfam family "tRNA". From Rfam's summary of the family: Transfer RNA (tRNA) molecules are approximately 80 nucleotides in length. Their secondary structure includes four short double-helical elements and three loops (D, anti-codon, and T loops). Further hydrogen bonds mediate the characteristic L-shaped molecular structure. tRNAs have two regions of fundamental functional importance: the anti-codon, which is responsible for specific mRNA codon recognition, and the 3' end, to which the tRNAs corresponding amino acid is attached (by aminoacyl-tRNA synthetases). tRNAs cope with the degeneracy of the genetic code in two manners: having more than one tRNA (with a specific anti-codon) for a particular amino acid; and 'wobble' base-pairing, i.e. permitting non-standard base-pairing at the 3rd anti-codon position. The record is from RNAcentral. Lineage: Bacteria; Bacillati; Bacillota; Bacilli; Lactobacillales.
CGGAAUAUGGCGCAGCCUGGUAGCGCACUCGUCUGGGGGGCGAGGGGCCGUGGGUUCAAAUCCCACUAUUCCGACCA